CUAUUUACGAUUGUAGGUUGUCAGAUGCAGCACUCCAGAGGAGCUGGGAGAAAUAAAAAGCACUCUAGGGGACUGGAUCUGUGACUGUGGCGUGUCAACCAUUUUUACUGCAUCGGUGGGUGAUCUGCCCACAAUUUUUGGGCAGUUGGUAACGCACUACAUCUACCACAGAGUGGCCAGUAUGAUUCAGCAGUUUAUUGCUGGAAUAAACUCCUGUGGCCGUUUGUGGGAGGUGGUUUGCCAAAAUGCAACAGUUUUCCUCCCCUUGUUUACAAACACAUGACAAAAAUUGAAAAGAAAUGAGGUCAGAGAUCUUUUUGAAAUUCUUUGGAGUGAUUCCGGGAGCAACAAAAGAGACCAGGAGGAGGACACUGUCUUCCAGUGGGAGUGCUGGCUGAUGUCAAUUCAAGAGGAAGAUGUGGGGAUAUCCUUUGAGGAUCUCUUAGUAUUUGUCACUGCAGCAGAUUCUGUCCCUCCACUGGGGUUUCAGGGAAAGUGCACAAUUAAUUUCUAUGAACAGGAAGAAGGAAUAAGAAGAAUUCCUUAUGCCUCAACCUGUACCCUGACUCUCUACCUACCAAGAGGUGUGUCUGAGGAGGAUGAAUUCAAAGACCUGAUGUACACUGCAAUUAAGGGGUCUCUUGGAUUUGGAAAGGUUUAAAAAUUAC
Molecule: non-coding RNA, 668 nt
Organism: Misgurnus anguillicaudatus (oriental weatherfish)
Lineage: Eukaryota; Metazoa; Chordata; Actinopteri; Cypriniformes; Cobitidae
Source: RefSeq, a predicted model, not a curated record